GAUGAAGAACGUAGUGAAAUGCGAUAAGUAGUGUGAAUUGCAGAAUUCAGUGAAUCAUCGAAUCUUUGAACGCACAUUGCGCCCCUUGGUAUCCCGAGGGGCAUGCCUGUCCGAGCGUCAUUGCUGCCCUCAAGCACGGCUUGUGUGUUGGGCCUCCGUCCUCCUCCCGGGGGACGGGCCCGAAAGGCAGCGGCGGCACCGCGUCCGGUCCUCGAGCGUAUGGGGCUUCGUCACCCGCUCUUGUAGGCCCGGCCGGCGCUUGCCGACACAUCAAUCUUUUUUCCAGGUUGACCUCGGAUCAGGUAGGGAUACCCGCUGAACUUAAGCAUAUCAAUAAGCGGAGGA
Molecule: unclassified non-coding RNA, 345 nt
Filed under: soil metagenome
Description: partial contains 5.8S ribosomal RNA, internal transcribed spacer 2, and large subunit ribosomal RNA
Rfam family: 5.8S ribosomal RNA (bases 1-120)
Source: RNAcentral